RNAcentral lists this ribosomal RNA (433 nucleotides) under uncultured bacterium. Its description in RNAcentral is "partial 16S ribosomal RNA". It matches the Rfam family "Bacterial small subunit ribosomal RNA", at positions 29 to 507 of the family's 1533-position model. The record is from RNAcentral.
AACGAACGCUGGCGGCAUGCCUAACAUAUGCAAGUCGAACGAGACCUUCGGGUCUAGUGGCGCACGGGUGCGUAACGCGUGGGAACCUGCCCUUAGGUUCGGAAUAACUCCCCGAAAGGGGUGCUAAUACCGGAUAAUGUCUUCGGACCAAAGAUUUAUCGCCUUUGGAUGGGCCCGCGUUGGAUUAGCUAGUUGGUAGGGUAAAAGCCUACCAAGGCGACGAUCCUUAGCUGGUCUGAGAGGAUGAUCAGCCACACUGGGACUGAGACACGGCCCAGACUCCUACGGGAGGCAGCAGUGGGGAAUAUUGGACAAUGGGCGAAAGCCUGAUCCAGCAAUGCCGCGUGAGUGAUGAAGGCCUUAGGGUUGUAAAGCUCUUUUACCCGGGAUGAUAAUGACAGUACCGGGAGAAUAAGCUCCGGCUAACUCCGUG